CACGGCCCACCCCCAGCCCCCAUCAGGGGCUUUCACACCACUCGCUCCAUCAUCCAGCACUACACCUCCCAUGAUGCACCGCUGAUGCCUGCAGAAAUGCAUGAAACUGAUGGCAAACCCCACCCUAGCUGAGGCUACAGUCUGCAGGGCUCCACAGGGAGCUGUAAUGAACGUACGGCGGAUUUACGGCCUGCCAUCUCUCGGGCCCAGACGCUGUCCGAAGAGGUAAUCUGUUCUGGCC
This is a long non-coding RNA of Pygocentrus nattereri (red-bellied piranha), 241 nucleotides long. RefSeq lists it as uncharacterized. NCBI's taxonomy places the organism in Eukaryota, Metazoa, Chordata, Actinopteri, Characiformes, Serrasalmidae. The record is from RefSeq and is a predicted model, not a curated record. The transcript has 3 exons.